This is a long non-coding RNA of Sipha flava (yellow sugarcane aphid), 377 nucleotides long. RefSeq lists it as uncharacterized. Lineage: Eukaryota; Metazoa; Arthropoda; Insecta; Hemiptera; Aphididae. The transcript is spliced from 2 exons. The record is from RefSeq and is a predicted model, not a curated record.
AAGGUUUCAUCGACGUAACGUGCAGUGGCCCCCCAAGUGUGAUGAAAGAGUUAUUAUUGCUAAUCGAGAAGGGGAGAUGAUGCAGAUGCCAACGUGCUACAGUAUAGUCGCGGGCUUCGUUCAAAAAUGUUCAUACGAGUACUCCAAGAAAACACGACUGAUUCUUACCUACAAUUGAACCUAUAUCCGCAGUACACGAGUACUUGAUGAGCAGUGUGAUAUAAUAGGAACUUCAGACGGCGCAGACGAUCAUCACCAGGACAUCAAUACAGCGGGCACACGCGCGAUCAAUGCGAUCAAUAUUCUAAUGUCUGAUGUAUUUAUUUAUUUUUUUUAUUAUAAUUUUUUAUCAAAAAUAAAGUCGUAGAUUUCGUUUG